Molecule: small RNA, 348 nt
Filed under: Vigna angularis var. angularis
Lineage: Eukaryota; Viridiplantae; Streptophyta; Magnoliopsida; Fabales; Fabaceae
Description: Non-protein coding transcript
Rfam family: MIR394 microRNA precursor family (bases 112-205)
Source: RNAcentral
CUCGUUUCUCUUUAUUACAACAACCUAUCUCCUUCUUCACUAAAACUCAAGCUACACAAUCUCUAUUUCCUUGUGCUUUUCCUUUGCUCUCUAGGCUUUCUCAGAGGUCUUGUUCCAUAGACAUUUUGGCAUUCUGUCCACCUCCGUUAUAAUGUCUACAAACAUGAUUUUGGAGGUGGUCAGCAUGCCAAACGGGCUCUGUGUAUCUGUCUCUGAGAAACCUUAUUUGAGAACUCAACGUGGUUCUCAUUAAUCAGACACACAAGCUUUGAUGAAAGCACCCACUGAAGACACAACACUAACUGGCAACACAACACCAACGGAAGUCUGAUACCACUUGUUGAAUCU